Long non-coding RNA from Anguilla anguilla (European eel), 394 nucleotides. RefSeq lists it as uncharacterized. The record is from RefSeq and is a predicted model, not a curated record. Lineage: Eukaryota; Metazoa; Chordata; Actinopteri; Anguilliformes; Anguillidae. The transcript is spliced from 3 exons.
UUUUCUCUGUGUGCUAAUCUGUACAUUGGCUCUACUGCACAGAACACAGAAAUGCUUUUGAGCUGCUUAAGAGAAUAACCUUUUAUUUCUUCCUGGUAUAUUUCGUCCUGCUUUGGUUUGACGCUAUAGAUAAUACAGGAUAUUGGACAACACUACCCUCUAGUGUACAUUACUUCUUGAAAGACAGAAACAGGAAAAAAAAACAGGUUACAUUGAAGAAGCUGCAAUUGAAAAUGGUAGGCAAGCAAAGAAAGAAAAGUAUUAUGCCUGCAAUACAGCAGUUGGGUUCACAUGCAUGGUCUGGACCGAACUUGGAGCUCCACAGGUACAGGCCCAGGGGGCCGUGCAGUGUUUCGUAAGGACUGCCGAAAGCGUUGUACAUGAAGAACGCCGA